RNAcentral lists this unclassified non-coding RNA (241 nucleotides) under Hevea brasiliensis (rubber tree). Lineage: Eukaryota; Viridiplantae; Streptophyta; Magnoliopsida; Malpighiales; Euphorbiaceae. The record is from RNAcentral.
UAAUAAGCUCAGCACUGAUUAUUUGAGCUGUGUGUAGUUUCUGAUACCAUUUUAUUGAUGGGGUUUGGGUUUGAUUUGUUGGGUAUUCAGCAAAUUUGUUUAUUGUUGUAGUACAUGUUUCCCCUUUUUUUGAAUUGUGAUCAUAUAGUAGGUAAAGAUUGGGAAAACGGUUAAAGAUUGGAUUUUUAUGGUGAAGAUUUGGAGAUUUAGGCAAUUUGAUGAAUGGAAUGUAGUAGUGAGG